UACGUAGGGGGCAAGCGUUGUCCGGAAUCAUUGGGCGUAAAGCGCGCGUAGGCGGCCCGGUAAGUCCGCUGUAAAAGUCCAGGGCUCAACCCUGGAAAGCCGGUGGAUACUGUCGGGCUAGAGUCCGGAAGAGGCGAGUGGAAUUCCUGGUGUAGCGGUGAAAUGCGCAGAUAUCAGGAGGAACACCAACGGCGAAGGCAGCUCGCUGGGACGGUACUGACGCUAAGGCGCGAAAGCGUGGGGAGCGAACAGG
RNAcentral lists this ribosomal RNA (253 nucleotides) under uncultured bacterium. RNAcentral's name for it is "partial 16S ribosomal RNA". It matches the Rfam family "Bacterial small subunit ribosomal RNA", at positions 524 to 776 of the family's 1533-position model. The record is from RNAcentral.